RNAcentral lists this long non-coding RNA (305 nucleotides) under Oryza sativa Indica Group (long-grained rice). RNAcentral describes it as "lncRNA OsZS97_04G004400". Lineage: Eukaryota; Viridiplantae; Streptophyta; Magnoliopsida; Poales; Poaceae. The record is from RNAcentral.
AUGAAUGUGAUCUGGGUCAAAAUUUACAUAUAUUGCUGAGUUUUCUGCAGAACACUCCUAACCUCGAGAAAGUUAUAUUGCAGAACUGCGAGAUUUCAGAUCAUUCGAGAAACAGGAAAAGAACACCCAAGGCAAACAGGAACCAGAUUCAUUCCAAGAGCAGAAGUCUGAUAACUUCCAAGUCUGAGAUCUCGAAGAUAAUGAAGAUGACAUAUGAAGAUGACGGUAUCAGCGACCUUAUUGAACUUUUGUUGCGCAGUUGGAGAAAACUUGAGGACCAUACUAUCAUAAUCACCAAGAUUUGA